CAACGCCGCGUGGAGGAGUGAAGCCCUUCGGGCGUAAACUCCUUUCGAUCGGGACGAUUAUGACGGUACCGGAAGAAGAAGCCCGGCUAACUUCGUGC
This 98-nucleotide ribosomal RNA is filed under the name uncultured bacterium. RNAcentral describes it as "partial 16S ribosomal RNA". The record is from RNAcentral.